UACGUAGGGGGCAAGCGUUAUCCGGAUUUACUGGGUGUAAAGGGAGCGCAGACGGAAGCGGAAGUCAGAUGUGGAAGCGCGGGGCAUAACCCCGGGAGUGCAUUUGAAACUCUGCAUCUAGAGUACUGGAGGGGUGAGCGGAAUUCCUGGUGUAGCGGUGAAAUGCGUAGAUAUCAGGAAGAACACCGGCGGCGAAGGCGGCUCACUGGACAGCAACUGACGUUGAGGCUCGAAAGCGUGGGGAG
RNAcentral lists this ribosomal RNA (245 nucleotides) under uncultured Butyrivibrio sp. Its description in RNAcentral is "partial 16S ribosomal RNA". It matches the Rfam family "Bacterial small subunit ribosomal RNA", at positions 524 to 768 of the family's 1533-position model. Lineage: Bacteria; Bacillati; Bacillota; Clostridia; Lachnospirales; Lachnospiraceae. The record is from RNAcentral.